Molecule: long non-coding RNA, 859 nt
Organism: Medicago truncatula (barrel medic)
Lineage: Eukaryota; Viridiplantae; Streptophyta; Magnoliopsida; Fabales; Fabaceae
Exons: 3
Source: RefSeq, a predicted model, not a curated record
AUGAGUUAGUUGUACAAAGAAAUAUGAUAUUUACUGGUAGAGUAUUUCACUUUGAUAAGAUCAAAAGCACUUACUUGGGAGAAGGAUAGCUCAAUUUUGAUUGAAGAUGGUUAUGAAUGGAGAAAGUAUGGACAAAAGAAGAUAAUCAAUGCAAAAUACCUCAGGAGCUACUACAGAUGCAGUUACAAAAGUGAUGAAGAAUGUGAAGCUAUGAAACAUGUGCAGAGAAUUCAAGAGGACCCUCCAUUAUACAGAACCAUAUAUUAUGGCCAUCAUAGUUGCAAAAUCUCUUUAUCAAAUUCUGAGAUCACAUUAUUGGAACCUAAUAAUACUUCAUCUAUGUUUCUUAGCUUCAAUGACAACCUCCAAAUCAAAGAACAAUAUCCUGCAUUUUCAUCACCACUUUCUGUACCAACAAAACAAGAGCCUAUAGAUGCUAUUAAUCCCUAUCAUAACCAAUUAACAUCAUCAGACUACCCUUUCUCAUGUGACUAUAAACUUGAAUUUGAUAAUUUCAGGCAUGCUACUAUGCUAUCAUCCACCAAAUCUGUUCCAUUUCAUGAUGGUUUUUAGUGACCUAAAUUAGGGUUGUGACAGAAGCUGUUUGUGAUUACCAAUGGUUUGCUCAACUCAAGCUUUAUCCUAUAUCAUGGAGACACGCCUCUACCUCCUCCUAUUUUAUCGAAGUGUAAUGUGGAUUGCGCUCUUUUAACUAACAAAGGCUGUUUUGGUCUUUGGAGACGGUAUUGUUUUCGUGAUAACUUGGGUUACGGUGCAUUUUUCUCUUGUAUUUUUCUCUUGUUUGUCAUGUGAUUGAAUGCGGGGUUAGUUGGAGAGUUUGGAAGUGUCUAAUCAUCUU